UUUGACCUCAAAUCAGGUAGGACUACCCGCUGAACUUAAGCAUAUCAAUAAGCGGAGGAAAAGAAACUAACAAGGAUUCCCCUAGUAACUGCGAGUGAAGAGGGAAAGCUCAAAUUUAAAAUCUGGCAGCUUUGGCUGUCCGAGUUGUAAUCUGGAGAAGUGUUUUCAGUGCAGGACCGUGUACAAGUCUCUUGGAAUGGAGCAUCAUAGAGGGUGAGAAUCCCGUCUUUGACACGGACUACCUGUGCUUUGUGAUACACUCUCAAAGAGUCGAGUUGUUUGGGAAUGCAGCUCAAAAUGGGUGGUAAAUUCCAUCUAAAGCUAAAUAUUGGCGAGAGACCGAUAGCGAACAAGUACCGUGAGGGAAAGAUGAAAAGCACUUUGGAAAGAGAGUUAAACAGUACGUGAAAUUGUUGAAAGGGAAACGCUUGGAGUCAGUCGCGUUUGUUAGAACUCAGCUUGGCUUCUGCUUAGUGUACUUUCUAAUGAACGGGCCAACAUCGAUUUCAGUCAGUGGAUAAGGGUAAGAGGAAUGUGGCACCUUCGGGUGUGUUAUAGCCUCUUAUCGUAUACAUUUACUGGGAUCGAGGUCUGCAGCACUUGUGCUUAGGAUGUUGGCAUAAUGGCUUUAAUCGACCCGUCUUGAAACACGGACCAAGGAGUCUAACAUGCCCGCGAGUGUUAGGGUGGUAAACCCUUGCGCGUAAUGAAAGUGAAAGUUGGGACCUCUGUCAUGGGGGGCACCGACGCCCGGUCCAGAACUUCUGUGACGGUACUGCGGUAGAGCGUGUAUGUUGGGACCCGAAAGAUGGUGAACUAUGCCUGAAUAGGGUGAAGCCAGAGGAAACUCUGGUGGAGGCUCGUAGCGAUUCUGACGUGCAAAUCGAUCGUCAAAUUUGGGUAUAGGGGCGAAAGACUAAUCGAACCAUCUAGUAGCUG
This 939-nucleotide ribosomal RNA is filed under the name Resinicium bicolor. Its description in RNAcentral is "eukaryotic LSU rRNA". It matches the Rfam family "Eukaryotic large subunit ribosomal RNA", at positions 1 to 953 of the family's 3401-position model. The record is from RNAcentral. Lineage: Eukaryota; Fungi; Basidiomycota; Agaricomycetes; Hymenochaetales.